GCCUGUACUUAAAAUUCCUCACUUCUGAAAGCUAGUGUGUCACAUUAUGCUUCAGAUCCAGACCCAAUCCUUUUGUUUCUGCUUCUUUUCCUUCUUCUGCCAUUUCUUCGACUCCCUCUCUCCCUCUUUGUAAUACUCUGCUUAAGUGUUAUAAGUCAGUAAAUCUCAACAAGGCUGCUCUAAUCCGCUAAGAGUGUAAUGGAGGGUGUCUGGGAUUUGGAGAUGUAUUUUCUGUCUGUGUCUGUUUAGAAGAUCAUCACAACGCUGCUUUUGAUCGUCCUUUUUCCUUUUUUCCUGUCCUUCACAGCUUCUUGGGAAUAGUUUUCUGUCCAUCAGUUGCUGUCUACGACCAGACAUGUCCAGGAAACAGAAGUGGCAGGAAAACCUGCUUGUCCGCCCAAAUGCUGCUAAAUCAAAUCAGAAGAAGAGGAGGAAAGACCCCACACACCCUGCGCUUGGCCUACCUAAGCAGACAGCAACUGAAAGAGGCCAAAUGUCUAAUGGCAGCACCAGUAGUAUCAGUGAUAGCAAUAAUAGCCUGAACACUAAUAGCAGCAGUGCUAGUUGCAGUAGCAUGAAUGCUAGUAGCAGGGGUGGUAGUAUCAAUAGCAAUACUAAGAGGAGUAGCAACAACUGCAUAGCUUGCAGCACAGAAACUACAAGUGAUGUUAGUAGUGUUAUUAAUAAUGGUAGCAACAGCAAUAGAGGCGCCAGUGUUGUCCACAGUGCUAGCACUUCAAGCAACAGUAAAGGAAGCAGUAGCAUGAGUGGUGGAGGUAGAAGCACUAGUGCUAGUGUUAAAGGCAGCAGCAUUAGUAACAAAAGAAUGGAAACUGUGAUGGGUGCUAUGGAGGAUAGCUCUCCACUGCCCUCCUCUGUAGGGAGGGGGCUUCAGGAAGUGGAGGCAGAGCUCAGUGGAAGAAGAAGGGACAGCAACACCAGCUCCCCCUGCAACUCCUCAGUCAGCUCCUGUCUCUCCUCACCGCUCAGCCAGCUACCCGACAGCUCUAACACAAAUGAUGCUAAGAGUCGGCAAGGUAUAGAGAGCGGUUAUUCCUCUCUGGAGAAGACGAGAUCCGACACUGAGGACAAACAGAUGGGUUGUGACCCACAUGACAGGUGUGAAGCUUCUGGGUCCUCAAACUCCCCCAAACCCUGCAUAUUGGGCUUCACCUCUCCAUGAACCUCCCCACUCAUUCUCUCACCCGGUUACAGUUCUCUGGGACCUGCUAGGGGUGGGUUUGAAGGUGUGGCAAAGUCUUUUGGCAGGGACAGAUAGGUGAUGCAGCACAGUAAAGUAGCAGGCACACAUGUCAGGAAGACACAUGCUCAGGUUUGGAAGACAUGAAACACACAGAACACUCAGCCCUGGAAGAGAGGAAGUCCAUCGUCUGUUUGGAAAACAGCGCAGGUAAGAGAAACAGGCACUGUUCAAGCACUACAGUAUCCACAUCAGCAUAAAAUACAAUUCCAGCCUGUUUUGGAAGAGUUCCCUUAAUUGAACCAUGCAUUUUACUUUCUUUAAUAGUUUUAUUCUGGCACUUUAUUGUGCUGUAUUCUUUGGAUACGAAAAAGCUACAGUUGUGCUGUCUCUGUGAUCUUUUUAUGGAGAGGUGUGAAUUGUUUACAGAGAAGGGGGUUCUCACCCCUCUCAUUUCACACCUAACUGCUUGCUAGCAGCUCAACAUAAAGUCACAACAUUUCAAACACACAGAGAACCAACAGAGUUAAUCUGGCAACAGAGUUAUGGUAAAGCAAUUUGGUUACAACACUGUGCACUAGAAGAAUGGGGAAAAUAGUAUUAAUGAAUAACAAUAUAUUAAAUAAUAUUAUAUUUAAUCACCCCCACCUACCGUCAACUAGCUCAGAAAUACACCAUUGUAAAGAGGGCAAAAUGUAUGAACAUGUAUAAUUUCCAGUUCACAGUGACUUUACAUACACAUUAAACACAGAAUAAUCCUUGUACAUUUCAUAUUUGUAACUUCAAUAGUUAAAAAAAUAGAACUUUCAGACUUUCAGCCUUGUCCACUUCAUUUUAUAAUUUUUCUCAAAUUUAUUCCAUGGUCACCUAAAAUUAAGCAAACCCAAAUAUCAGUUUGUAAUGUUGAUUUUGUGGGUAUUUACUGUCUGAGCAGAUUACUAUAUUCAGGCAAUCCUUAUAGUGUAUUUCGUAGUGUUGUAUGUUUCUUAUUUUGUUGUUUUUUGUUUGUUUGUUUGUUUUUCAGGACAUCCUAACAGCUCUGUUCCCAUCAUUCAGCCCUACAAGCUUCCCAUCAGCCACAUUUUCUUGACCCAUUACACUCUCUGACUGUCACAUAUUUCCAUAUUAUGCUACAUGUGCAUUAGCUUAACUGUAAAAGUGUUGUUAAACAAUUUCUGUUGUAUUUUUUAGAAGAUCUCAGGUGAUUGAGCAGUUUGAGAAGGAAAAUGGUGUGCAUUCUCAUGCCGAGGUAUUUUCCUGUUCUUCUUCACCAUCCUCUAUCUCCUCUACUUCUGAACAUAACCAUGACAGAAGAGCUAGUCGCAGUGCUGCACAGGUAUACAAAACUACAAUAAACAUCAACUGAUGUGGUCCUGGUCCUUGUUCCUGAUGUAGCUGUUGCUC
Long non-coding RNA from Pygocentrus nattereri (red-bellied piranha), 2605 nucleotides. Lineage: Eukaryota; Metazoa; Chordata; Actinopteri; Characiformes; Serrasalmidae. The record is from Ensembl.